UGUAAAGAUAACAAAAGGUCUGUUACCAGACUCAUAAUCUGGGAUUACGAGUUCGAUUCUCGUCUUUACUU
This 71-nucleotide transfer RNA is filed under the name Igernella notabilis. RNAcentral's name for it is "tRNA-Met". It matches the Rfam family "tRNA". From Rfam's summary of the family: Transfer RNA (tRNA) molecules are approximately 80 nucleotides in length. The record is from RNAcentral. Lineage: Eukaryota; Metazoa; Porifera; Demospongiae; Dendroceratida; Dictyodendrillidae.